RNAcentral lists this ribosomal RNA (428 nucleotides) under uncultured bacterium. RNAcentral's name for it is "partial 16S ribosomal RNA". It matches the Rfam family "Bacterial small subunit ribosomal RNA", at positions 354 to 796 of the family's 1533-position model. The record is from RNAcentral.
GUAGGGAAUAUUGCGCAAUGGACGAAAGUCUAACGCAGCGACGCCGCGUGAGUGAUGAAGGCCUUAGGGUCGUAAAGCUCUGUUGAAUGGGAAGAAAAAAAUGACGGUACUAUUCGAGGAAGGACCGGCUAACUUCGUGCCAGCAGCCGCGGUAAUACGAGGGGUCCUAGCGUUGUUCGGAAUCAUUGGGCGUAAAGGGUGUGUAGGUGGCCAUGUAAGUCAGGUGUGAAAGCCCCGGGCCCCACCCGGGAAGUGCACUUGAUAAUGCGUGGCUUGAGUACCGAAGAGGGUAGUGGAAUGCCAGGUGUAGUGGUGAAAUACGUAGAUAUCUGGAGGAACACCGGUGGCGAAGGCGGCUACCUGGUCGAGUACUGACACUGAGACACGAAAGCAUGGGGAUCAAACAGGAUUAGAUACCCCUGUAGUCC